RNAcentral lists this ribosomal RNA (323 nucleotides) under Bacillus subtilis. Its description in RNAcentral is "bacterial SSU rRNA". It matches the Rfam family "Bacterial small subunit ribosomal RNA", at positions 1115 to 1439 of the family's 1533-position model. Lineage: Bacteria; Bacillati; Bacillota; Bacilli; Caryophanales; Bacillaceae. The record is from RNAcentral.
UUGCCAGCAUUCAGUUGGGCACUCUAAGGUGACUGCCGGUGACAAACCGGAGGAAGGUGGGGAUGACGUCAAAUCAUCAUGCCCCUUAUGACCUGGGCUACACACGUGGUACAAUGGACAGAACAAAGGGCAGCGAAACCGCGAGGUUAAGCCAAUCCCACAAAUCUGUUCUCAGUUCGGAUCGCAGUCUGCAACUCGACUGCGUGAAGCUGGAAUCGCUAGUAAUCGCGGAUCAGCAUGCCGCGGUGAAUACGUUCCCGGGCCUUGUACACACCGCCCGUCACACCACGAGAGUUUGUAACACCCGAAGUCGGUGAGGUAAC